GCCAAUGCUAGCCCUAAGCACAACCAACACUAAUACCAAGCCAACACACACUAAACCAUUUACCUACACAAAGUAUAGGCGAUAGAAAUUUUAAUCUGGCGCUAUAGACACAGUACCGUAAGGGAAAGAUAGAAAACCACCCAAGCACAAAACAGCAAGGACUAACCCCUGUACCUUUCGCAUAAUGAAUUAGCUAGAAACAAUUUCACAAAGAGGACUACAAGCCAAAUCCCCCGAAACCAGACGAGCUACCCAAAAACAGCUAAAAGAGCGCACCCAUCUAUGUGGCAAAAUAGUGGGAAGAUUUCUGGGUAGAGGUGAAAAGCCUACCGAGCCUGGUGAUAGCUGGUUAUCCAAGACAGAAUCUUAGUUCAACCUUAAGCUUACCUAUAGAACUACCUAAUCCCCCUGUAAGCUUAACUGCUAGUCUAAAGAGGGACAGCUCUUUAGACACUAGGAAAAAACCUUAUGGAGAGAGUAAAACCCUCAAUCACCAUAGUUGGCUUAAAAGCAGCCAUCAAUUAAGAAAGCGUUCAAGCUCAACACUAACCACCACAAAAAUACCAAACACAUAACUGAACUCCUCACACCACAUUGGAUUAAUCUAUCACCAUAUAGAAGCAAUAAUGCUAGUAUAAGUAACAUGAAUAUUUUCUCCACCGCAUAAGCCUAAAUCGGACCGAAAGCCUCACCGAUACCUAACAGCCAGGCAUAACAAGCACAAACAAGCCCAUGCCACCUUCACUGUUAACCCAACACAGGCAUGCCUCAAGGAAAGGUUAAAAAAAGUAAAAGGAACUCGGCAAACUCAAACCCCGCCUGUUUACCAAAAACAUCACCUCUAGCAUUACUAGUAUUAGAGGCACUGCCUGCCCAGUGACACACGUUUAACGGCCG
RNAcentral lists this ribosomal RNA (897 nucleotides) under Macaca fascicularis (crab-eating macaque). RNAcentral describes it as "partial 16S ribosomal RNA". The stretch from base 151 to 897 matches the Rfam family "Bacterial large subunit ribosomal RNA", at positions 566 to 1886 of the family's 2925-position model. The record is from RNAcentral. Lineage: Eukaryota; Metazoa; Chordata; Mammalia; Primates; Cercopithecidae.